GAUGAACGCUGGCGGCGUGCCUAAUACAUGCAAGUCGAACGGACAGACGAGGAGCUUGCUCCGCUCACGUUAGCGGCGGACGGGUGAGUAACGCGUGUAUAACCUACCUAUAAUUCUGGGAUAACUUCGGGAAACCGGAGCUAAUCCGGUAUAAUAUAUUGCACCGCGUGGUGCAAUAGUGAAAGACGGUUUUGCUGGCACUAAUCGAUGGAUAUCCGCCGCAUUGGCUAGUUGGUAAGUUCACGGCUUUCCAAGGGUACCAUGCGUGGGCGACCUGCGAGGGUGAUCGGCCACCCGGGAGCUGAGACACGGUCCAGACUCCUACGGGAGGCAGCAGUAGGGAAUCUUCCGCAAUGGGCGAAAGCCUGACGGAGCAACGCCGCGUGAGUGACGAAGGUCUUCCGAUCGUAAAACUCUGUUAUUAGGUAAGAACAAAUGUGUAAGUAACUAUGCACGUCUUGACGGUACCUAGUCAGAAAGCAACGGCUAACUACGUG
RNAcentral lists this ribosomal RNA (497 nucleotides) under uncultured bacterium. RNAcentral's name for it is "partial 16S ribosomal RNA". It matches the Rfam family "Bacterial small subunit ribosomal RNA", at positions 28 to 507 of the family's 1533-position model. The record is from RNAcentral.